CUUUUGAAUUUCGUAUAAAAUUAAAAAUGGCGUCUAAUAUAUCAGAUAAAUGUGUAAUGUACUUUAUGAAAACAAUGAAAAAUGUUUUUUCUAUUUUCUUUAAUUUUUAAAAUUUCUGCACGAUAUAUUUUAAAAAGCGAAGUAUUUUCUUAAUUUCAAAAGAUGUUCUAUUUACAUGACCUCUUUCCCUGCAACAAAAGGGAAAACGUGCACGAAGUUGAGUAUAUACAGUGAUUGAAUAUUCAAACAAAUGUGUAAAUCAUCGAUCGACUGAGAAUGGAAUUAACUUAUAUGAAUUAUGGAUGAAAAUAAUGAAACAAGUAGAUAAUUUAGCCUGGAUUUAUUGUCACAACUUCUGUACAAAACAGCAAAAAUACUCUUAUAUUAGACCAUCAGAUAACAAACUCAAGUUCUUCAAAUAGACAAGAAAAUACUGUAUUACAAAAGGAAUAAUAUCUAAUAGUUUAGUUCUUUAAUACUUAUAACAAUAUAUUAAAAGUUUAUAAGGGAGAUACAAUUAAAAAAAAAUUUGUAUUUUAUAGAUAUGAAGUUGAUACUAUUUCAAAAGACUUUGGAUUAAGUAAUAUAAUUUUUGUAAUUCAAGAUUUUAAUGAUAUUUAAUAAGAUAAUAUUUUGCCUGCUUUACACAAUGAAUUUAACGUAGACACUAAGAUGGAAGCAAUGAGAAAUAUUCGAAAAAAUACAUAUGACCGAUUUCAAUUUGGAUGGAGAAUUAAAUGAUAUCUUUUACCAAUAAAAAAUUUUUAACAGGUUUAGAAGAAUCUAAUAUCACAAUGUAUAAAAUUGAGACAAAAAUAUCAGUAUUUUUUGAGCAUGAUAAUAUACCGAAAUGGGAUGAAAAGAUCAUAUUUUUGGUAGAAGUCAAUCAAAGUUUCAACUAAUUAUAAUUAUGUAAUUAUACAAUUAUGUACGGUAUAAUUAUGUUCAACUUAUUAAUGUAAUACUUAUUUUCUUGAUGAAGAAUAUAGAACAGCAUAUAUGAAAUCAAUAUUACCAGAUAUAAUCAUAGAAUUUAUAAGAAUUAAUUUAUAAGAAUUGUGCUAGAAAAAAUAUAACUUCCAAAAAUUGUAGAAGAAUCUUUUAUUUGUAAAAGAAAUUAUGGAAGAAAUUUAUAUCAGUCGCUAGGUAAUAUAUUGAAAUUUGCAUAAAAAAUAUUUUUGUUUAUAAUAAUUAACUUUAAUUUAUGUUAAUAAUUUAUAUGUUAUAUUUCUAUAUUUUAUCUCGAUUGUCAAAUGAUUCAUGUAUCAUACAUUAUACAUAUUUAUUGAUAUCAAUAUAUUAAGAUAAAUUAUCGUUUUUAUUAAUAUAAAUUAUGGUUUUUAUUAAUAUAUUUUAUUAAUAUAAGAUAGAAUUUGUUAAUUAUGAUCAACAGAAUAUCUUUGAAAAAUAUUUAAUACCAAAUAAUAAUAUUAAAAUGUACACCAAGGAACCGAGAAAUUACAAUGGCUAUAUGAAUUUUUAUCAGAACGAUAUCUCAUUCUUAUUAAAUGAACAUAUAGAAUUAUACAUAACAUUAUGCAAUAUAUUAUUUCUGAUGAAUUAAAUAA
Long non-coding RNA from Vespa crabro (European hornet), 1568 nucleotides. RefSeq lists it as uncharacterized. The record is from RefSeq and is a predicted model, not a curated record. Lineage: Eukaryota; Metazoa; Arthropoda; Insecta; Hymenoptera; Vespidae. The transcript is spliced from 5 exons.